UCGGGUUGUAAAGCACUUUUGUCCGGAAAGAAAACUUCGGCCCUAAUACGGCGGGAGGAUGACGGUACCGGAAGAAUAAGCACCGGCUAACUACGUGCCAGCAGCGCGGUAAUCGUAGGGUGCGAGCGUUAAUCGGAAUUACUGGGCGUAAAGCGUGCGCAGGCGGUUCGUUAAGACAGAUGUGAAAUCCCCGGGCUUAACCUGGGAACUGCAUUUGUGACUGGCGAGCUAGAGUAUGGCGGAGGGGGGUAGAAUUCCACGUGUAGCAGUGAAAUGCGUAGAGAUGUGGAGGAAUACCGAUGGCGAAGGCAGCCCCCUGGGCCAAUACUGACGCUCAUGCACGAAAGCGUGGGGAGCAAACAGGAUUAGAUACCCUGGUAGUCCACGCCCUAAACGAUGUCAACUAGUUGUCGGGGAUUCAUUUCCUUAGUAACGUAGCUAACGCGUGAAGUUGACCGCCUGGGGAGUACGGUCGCAAGAUUAAAACUCAAAGGAAUUGACGGGGACCCGCACAAGCGGUGGAUGAUGUGGAUUAAUUCGAUGCAACGCGAAAAACCUUACCUACCCUUGACAUGGUCGGAACCCUGCUG
Molecule: ribosomal RNA, 590 nt
Filed under: uncultured Burkholderia sp.
Lineage: Bacteria; Pseudomonadati; Pseudomonadota; Betaproteobacteria; Burkholderiales; Burkholderiaceae
Description: bacterial SSU rRNA
Rfam family: Bacterial small subunit ribosomal RNA
Source: RNAcentral